UACAGAGGGUGCAAGCGUUAAUCGGAAUUACUGGGCGUAAAGCGCGCGUAGGUGGUUUGUUAAGUUGGAUGUGAAAGCCCCGGGCUCAACCUGGGAACUGCAUUUGUGACUGCACAGCUUGAGUGCGGCAGAGGGGGAUGGAAUUCCGCGUGUAGCAGUGAAAUGCGUAGAUAUGCGGAGGAACACCGAUGGCGAAGGCAAUCCCCUGGGCCUGCACUGACGCUCAUGCACGAAAGCGUGGGGAGCAAACAGG
Molecule: ribosomal RNA, 253 nt
Filed under: uncultured bacterium
Lineage: Bacteria
Description: partial 16S ribosomal RNA
Rfam family: Bacterial small subunit ribosomal RNA
Source: RNAcentral